This 500-nucleotide ribosomal RNA is filed under the name uncultured bacterium. Its description in RNAcentral is "partial 16S ribosomal RNA". It matches the Rfam family "Bacterial small subunit ribosomal RNA", at positions 29 to 507 of the family's 1533-position model. The record is from RNAcentral.
AAUCAACGCUGGCGGCGUGCCUAACACAUGCAAGUCGAACGCGAAAGCCCCGCAAGGGGUAGGUGGAGGGGAAACGGGGGGGUAACAAGGGGGUGAACCGCCUUCCGGUGGGGGAAUAAGUUCCCAAAGGGAACGCAAAUACGCCAGGACAUCUGCCUUUGAAAAAAGGGGAGGUAAAGCCGGGGGAGGCCAGUCCCUAUGGCUGAAGGGGGGGCCCGCGCCUGAUUAGCUAGUUGGGGGGGUAACGCCUCACCAGGGCGACGAUCAGUAUCCGGCCUGAGAGGGCGGACGGACACACUGGGACUGAGACACGGCCCAGACUCUUACGGGAGGCAGCAGUGGGGAAUUGUUCGCAAUGGGCGCAAGCCUGACGACGCAACGCCGCGUGGAGGACGAAGAUCGUCGGGUCGUAAACUCCUGUCGAGCGGGACGAACGCUUCGCGGAUGAAUAAUCCGCGGAAUUGACGGUACCGCUAAAGGAAGCCCCGGCUAACUCCGUG